RNAcentral lists this signal recognition particle RNA (264 nucleotides) under Bacillota bacterium. RNAcentral's name for it is "signal recognition particle sRNA large type". It matches the Rfam family "Bacterial large signal recognition particle RNA". Rfam says of the family: The signal recognition particle (SRP) is a universally conserved ribonucleoprotein involved in the co-translational targeting of proteins to membranes. The record is from RNAcentral. Lineage: Bacteria; Bacillati; Bacillota.
CCGUGCUAGACGGGGAGUUGGCGGUGCCCUGCACCUGCAAUCCGCCUUAGCAGGGUCGAACUCCCGCCCCCGGUGGUGAGCUGUGGAGCUUGCCCGAAGCAAGUGGCGUUGAAGGUUGGGUUCUGCGCAACGGGAGCCUGUGAACCCCGUCAGGUCCGGAAGGAAGCAGCGGUAAGCAGAUCUUCUCGUGUGCCGCAGAGGUUCCUGGCCCGAGCUAACUGCUCCGGUUCCAUCCGGAGCCAGCCAUCAAAGGCGGGUGCACGG